Molecule: long non-coding RNA, 440 nt
Organism: Herpailurus yagouaroundi (jaguarundi)
Lineage: Eukaryota; Metazoa; Chordata; Mammalia; Carnivora; Felidae
Exons: 4
Source: RefSeq, a predicted model, not a curated record
GUCCGCACAUGUUAUAUUCCAACUCGAGAGGAUAAGGAUGGCAAAAGCUGUCAUUGACUCGGUACCUUCGAUGGAGUGGGACAUGUGUUGUUCUCUGCACGUGUUCCCUUAUUCCCAAGGGCUGGCUGCUUCUCGAACCAUGAAUUUUGUCUCACGGCCUCCCGAUUCCUUGUCUCAAAAACAUUCCGCAACAGCUCUGAGUGCUACGAACCCGACUGGGUCAUCUGCUGCUGCCGGCUUCCAGACAUUGUUCCGAACAUUUUCAUACUGGAAGGCUGGUGAUGUCCCAAGACAGUGAGAGUGUAGUUUUCUACUGCCUAAUAUUUGGAAUUGGAUCCAAGAAGAGAAGCGUUCCAGUUGAUCACCCGACAGUCACUCAUAGCCCCCUAGCCCAAGAGAGACCGCUUCUGAGAAAGAAUUGAGCGGAGUAGCUGCGAGCA